GUCAGGUUGAGGUUUAGGGCCACGAUUAGGAUCACUUUUAGGGUCGGGUUUAGGAUUAGGAUCAGGUUUAGGGUCGGGUUUAGGAUCAGGUUUAGGGUCAGGUUUAGGAUCACGUUUAGGGUUGGGUUUGGGGUCGGGUUUAAGGUCACAUUUAGGGUCACAUUUAGGGUCGGCUUUGGGGUUGGGUUUAGGAUCACAUUUAGGGUCGGGUUUAGGGUCACAUCUAGGGUCACAUUUAGGGUCGGGUUUGAGGUCGGGUUUGGGGUCGGGUUUAGGAUCACAUUUAGGAUCACAUUUAGGGUCGGGUUUGGGGUCGGGUUUGGGGUCGGGGGGGGCCGUACCUUCGUGCUCCUCCCACUCCCACUCCCACUCGGAGCCGUCGCUGUCCCCAUCGCUGUGGGGCGGCCCCACAUCCAGCAGUGCUCCGCGCUCCUCCACG
This 439-nucleotide long non-coding RNA is filed under the name Gallus gallus (chicken). RNAcentral's name for it is "lncRNA (ENSGALG00010010907.1)". Lineage: Eukaryota; Metazoa; Chordata; Aves; Galliformes; Phasianidae. The record is from RNAcentral.